GAUGAACGCUAGCUACAGGCUUAACACAUGCAAGUCGAGGGGUAACGAGAGGAAAGCUUGCUUUCCUUGUCGACGACCGGCGCACGGGUGAGUAACGCGUAUCCAACCUGCCCCCAACUAGGGAAUAACCUUACGAAAGUAAGACUAAUACCCUAUAAUUUCCUCAGAUGUCAUCUGACGAGGAAUAAAGAUUUAUCGGUUGUGGAUGGGGAUGCGUCUGAUUAGCUUGUUGGCGGGGUAACGGCCCACCAAGGCAACGAUCAGUAGGGGUUCUGAGAGGAAGGGCCCCCACAUUGGAACUGAGACACGGUCCAAACUCCUACGGGAGGCAGCAGUGAGGAAUAUUGGUCAAUGGGCGGAAGCCUGAACCAGCCAAGUAGCGUGCAGGAUGACGGCCCUAUGGGUUGUAAACUGCUUUUAUACUGGAAUAAAGUUAGCCACGUGUGGUUAUUUGUAGGUACUGUAUGAAUAAGGACCGGCUAAUUCCGUGCCAGCCGCCGCCGUAA
Molecule: ribosomal RNA, 506 nt
Filed under: uncultured bacterium
Lineage: Bacteria
Description: partial 16S ribosomal RNA
Rfam family: Bacterial small subunit ribosomal RNA
Source: RNAcentral